Lemur catta (Ring-tailed lemur) is the source of this 165-nucleotide long non-coding RNA. RefSeq lists it as uncharacterized. NCBI's taxonomy places the organism in Eukaryota, Metazoa, Chordata, Mammalia, Primates, Lemuridae. The record is from RefSeq and is a predicted model, not a curated record. The transcript has 3 exons.
GUCUAUCUGGAGAAUGAUCACAAACCUUGACUGCAAUUGCUUUUUUUCUUUUCAACUGAACUAAAGAACCACAUGGCCCUGUCAUCUUGUGUCUUGCUAAUAUCUCAAGGACACGUGACAGCUGGUGUCAUAGUGCUGCUGAAAAAUGCAUUCUCUGUGCCCAGG